CCCUACGGGGGGCAGCAGUGAGGAAUAUUGGUCAAUGGGCGCGAGCCUGAACCAGCUAAGUAGCGUGAAGGAUGCCUGCCCUCCGGGUUGUCCCCUUCUUUUCUCCCGGCCUACCGUGAGGCACGUGUGCCUUUUUGUAUGUACUUUAUGAAUAAGGAUCGGCUAACUCCGUGCCAGCAGCCGCGGUAAUACGGAGGAUCCGAGCGUUAUCCGGAUUUAUUGGGUUUAAAGGGAGCGUAGAUGGGUUGUUAAGUCAGUUGUGAAAGUUUGCGGCUCACCCGUAAAAUUGCAAUUGAUACUAGCAG
This 305-nucleotide ribosomal RNA is filed under the name uncultured bacterium. RNAcentral's name for it is "bacterial SSU rRNA". It matches the Rfam family "Bacterial small subunit ribosomal RNA", at positions 337 to 639 of the family's 1533-position model. The record is from RNAcentral.